UACGAAGGGGGCGAGCGUUGUUCGGAUUUACUGGGCGUAAAGGGCGCGCAGGCGGCCUAUUUUGUCAGGCGUGAAAGCCCCGGGCUUAACCUGGGAACUGCGUUUGAUACGGAUGGGCUAGAGUUCGGGAGAGGAGAGUGGAAUUCCCAGUGUAGAGGUGAAAUUCGUAGAUAUUGGGAAGAACACCGGUGGCGAAGGCGGCUCUCUGAACCGAUACUGACGCUGAGGUGCGAAAGCGUGGGGAGCAAACAGG
This 253-nucleotide ribosomal RNA is filed under the name uncultured bacterium. RNAcentral's name for it is "partial 16S ribosomal RNA". It matches the Rfam family "Bacterial small subunit ribosomal RNA", at positions 524 to 776 of the family's 1533-position model. The record is from RNAcentral.